GAUGAACGCUGGCGGUAUGCCUAACACAUGCAAGUCGAACGGGCUCUUCGGAGCUAGUGGCGGACGGGUGAGUAACGCGUGAGAAUCUGCCUUCAGGAUGGGGACAACAACGAGAAAUCGGUGCUAAAACCCAAUGUGCCGAAAGGUGAAAUACUUGUAGCCUGAAGAGGAGCUCGCGUCCGAUUAGUUAGUUGGUGGGGUAAGAGCCUACCAAGGCAGCGAUCGGUAGCUGGUCUGAGAGGAUGAGCAGCCACACUGGGACUGAGACACGGCCCAGACUCCUACGGGAGGCAGCAGUGGGGAAUUUUCCGCAAUGGGCGAAAGCCUGACGGAGCAAUACCGCGUGAGGGAGGAAGAUUUUUGGAUUGUAAACCUCUUUUUUAAAGGAAGAAGAAAGUGACGGUACUUUAAGAAUCAGCAUCGGCUAACUCCGUG
This 435-nucleotide ribosomal RNA is filed under the name uncultured organism. Its description in RNAcentral is "bacterial SSU rRNA". It matches the Rfam family "Bacterial small subunit ribosomal RNA", at positions 28 to 507 of the family's 1533-position model. The record is from RNAcentral.